Long non-coding RNA from Cervus elaphus (red deer), 2520 nucleotides. RefSeq lists it as uncharacterized. The transcript has 2 exons. NCBI's taxonomy places the organism in Eukaryota, Metazoa, Chordata, Mammalia, Artiodactyla, Cervidae. The record is from RefSeq and is a predicted model, not a curated record.
GUAAUGAGACCAAGAUAACAGAGUAUUUAAUUCAGGAGCAGCAUGAUUUCAGAAGAAAUGAUUUUAGUGUUUCUGAAACACAAGUUCUCAGAAAGAGGUGGAUGUCAGCAGACAUAAUAAAAUAAUAGUUUAAACAUUCAAAAAGGUAUAGAUUGAAUAGAUUUGGAGGGCACUUUGAAGCACAAGAUCUUGAAGUAAUUUAUUAAUUCCAUGAAGCAAAAGUUAGUGGCAGAAAUAGGAAUAUAACUUAGCCAUUUUAACAGCCUUCCUGUUAGUAAAUAUACUAUCCCCUCCUGUGUCUAUCCCAGUCCACCUGCCCUUUUCCUUCUUUUUCCUGUCCUUCCUAAAGUUUUAGCUCUAAUAUGAGUUUUGGGAGAUACUCCUCUUUCUGAUAGGUAGGAUUUUAGUGGCAGAAGUCAGGACUUUUCAAAACUUCUCUUUGGAUGUCCUAUCCAAGCAGGCUGUAAGUCUGAUAACCCUCUAGGUUAGUGAAUAGGAAAUCCUGGCUUGUAAUAUGGUUUCUACUGCUAAAGGCAUAUAAUAAGUUACUAACUUGUUUUGUGCUUCAGUUCACUCCUGUGAGGUAGGGAUAGUCAUUCCUGUAGUAUCUUAAGAUUUAAAAUAUUUUAUCUCUUGAACUGAAAUUUACUAACCAAGGAAUCCCACUGCACUCCUGUAGUAAUUUAUGAUGUAUACUAAAUAGGCUUGAAUGGAAGGAUCUUGUUCUGUUGCUGAUAAAAAUAGCCAGCAUUAGGGUGUAUUCACUAUGUGAUUACUUGGAACGUGGAGGAUUUGUGAACCUCCAUUCCGCUGCCUUCCCCACUUCCCCCUCCCUGAAGAUCACUUACAUGUUAAGAAUAAUUACUUUCAGAUUUCACCAUAUUCAAACUAUAUUAGAUGGUCCUUACAUAGCGUAUAUAUCCUGGCUGCUGUUGUGGGGUUCGGGAACAUGAGGGGUGGGGUGAAUUGUUGUUGUUUUAGGUUUCAGUCAGACAGCCAUCCCUGUGCCCCAGUUCCCAGAAGCACAGCAGGCCUCUAGGAGCAUCCGUGGGAACGGCGCAGUCCUGACAUCAGCAACUCUCCUGCUCAGGCUCAUCCCAUAUACAGAGGUCAAAGGGUGGGGCUUGAGAUGGGGGAAGGAAUGAAAAAGCAGAAACAAUGUCACUGCAGUGCCACUGUUGACCAGCCUUUCUCUAGUGCUUAUGUCAGUGUUUGCUUUAUUUUUUUUAAGUUGACCAAAAAAGAUUUUACUUUGGGAGUAAAGGUAGUGGGAGGGUGGAACAAAAACAUGCCAUUUUUACUAGUUCAUUAUCAUCACUAGCUCAUUCUUGCAUAUUGUUCUUUAGUAGCUAAUAAAGAAUAAGUGAAACCUAGACCUCAUUAAUAAGGAGAAUGUUAAUACAAGUGAAUCUCAGGAUACUAAAAAAGAGAAAAAGCAUUUUUGUGGUAUUAAUUUCCAGUUCUACAACAGUUAUUAUAUUUGUCACUCUUGUCUCCCUUUUUUUGCCCUAAUUCUUCUAUGUAUGUUUACAGUAUGAGAAAAUGUUCCUUUUUUCUUUUUUUUUUUUUGUGGUCAGUCCUUUUAAAAGGACCUAAUGAAAUUACUACUCUUUUGCAAAAAAAAAAAAAUACACCCAUUGCUUAUAUGGGCAUACAAAUGCUACCCUAUUUUAAAUGUAGGUGGCGUAUGUGUUCGUGUUUUAAUGUAUUCAGAGCCAUUGGGCAAUAAGCAGUCCAGAACAUUGAAAACUCAAGCAGGUAAAGCACCUAACACCCUUAGUUUCUAGAAUUACUUUUAAAAACUCCUUUAUUGCUGCAUCUUCCACGAGUCUUUUGGUAGUCUCUGAACUUAAACUUUGUAGGAGUUGUAGACUACCUAGUUAAAUUGUUAAGUUAUGCAUUUAUUAUUUGUAGGGACAGGUGAAGAAGAAAAGUGUUAACAGACAAGAAAUGGCUCCUUGAGAUGGCAACUGCUGAGUGUCUGAAUCUCUCCCCCUCCCCCUCCCCCAGCUUAGCAUGAACAUUGAUCAUACCUGUUUUGAUUUUCUGUGAUUGGGAUUUUUGUUGUUUUAACUUUUGGUGGGGAGGUUUCAGGGAAACAGGAAUUUCAUGCACAUGUGAAAAUAUGAAAUGUUAAACAAAGGAAGCUUUCUAUUUAAUGUGACUAGUAAGCGAGAACCUUUUCUAUAUACUCUUCUGCUGCAGCAGAGAAAUAAACUGGUAGGUGGCAGCAGAAGAAAGAAUUCUUCAGAUUGAUGGCUACUGGCAGUCUGCAUAGAAGAGAGAGAACGUGACAUACCAUGUCCAGCAACAGGGCAGAAAUGGAAACAGGACUGCAGUUGCUGAUCUUGACUUUAAAAUGGUUCUUUUGGUCUCACAGAAUGGAUGAAGAUUGAUCUUGACUGAAUGCUUUUUCAAAUGGAGGAUAGAAGUAACACAAAACAAGGCAGCCGUAGCUCUCCAGUGUUUAAUUCAAUGUGCUUUCUUUAUAAAAUAAAAACACCAGAAGUGGGAAUGAAA